UAAUUGGGCGUUAAGUUGCAGGGUAUAGACCCGAAACCCGGUGAUCUAGCCAUGGGCAGGUUGAAGGUUGGGUAACACUAACUGGAGGACCGAACCGACUAAUGUUGAAAAAUUAGCGGAUGACCUGUGGCUGGGGGUGAAAGGCCAAUCAAACCGGGAGAUAGCUGGUUCUCCCCGAAAGCUAUUUAGGUAGCGCCUCGUGAAUUCAUCUCCGGGGGUAGAGCACUGUUUCGGCUAGGGGGCCAUCCCGGCUUACCAACCCGAUGCAAACUGCGAAUACCGGAGAAUGUUAUCACGGGAGACACACGGCGGGUGCUAACGUCCGUCGUGAAGAGGGAAACAACCCAGACCGCCAGCUAAGGUCCCAAAGUCAUGGUUAAGUGGGAAACGAUGUGGGAAGGCCCAGACAGCCAGGAUGUUGGCUUAGAAGCAGCCAUCAUUUAAAGAAAGCGUAAUAGCUCACUGGUCGAGUCGGCCUGCGCGGAAGAUGUAACGGGGCUAAACCAUGCACCGAAGCUGCGGCAGCGAACGUAUCACUUAAAGCGAUUCAGCGGGUUACGAUUGACGGAGCGAAGCGACGUCAAAGCGUAUACAAAGUCGAGUCGGUUUAAGGAUACGUUCGUUGGGUAGGGGAGCGUUCUGUAAGCCUGCGAAGGUGGCCUGUGAGGGUUGCUGGAGGUAUCAGAAGUGCGAAUGCUGACAUAAGUAACGAUAAAGCGGGUGAAAAGCCCGCUCGCCGGAAGACCAAGGGUUCCUGUCCAACGUUAAUCGGGGCAGGGUGAGUCGACCCCUAAGGCGAGGCCGA
Molecule: ribosomal RNA, 805 nt
Filed under: Salmonella enterica subsp. enterica serovar Anatum
Lineage: Bacteria; Pseudomonadati; Pseudomonadota; Gammaproteobacteria; Enterobacterales; Enterobacteriaceae
Description: partial 23S ribosomal RNA
Rfam family: Bacterial large subunit ribosomal RNA
Source: RNAcentral